CGAAGGGGGCUAGCGUUGUUCGGAAUCACUGGGCGUAAAGCGCACGUAGGCGGAUCUUUAAGUCAGGGGUGAAAUCCCGAGGCUCAACCUCGGAACUGCCUUUGAUACUGGGGAUCUCGAGUCCGGGAGAGGUGAGUGGAACUGCGAGUGUAGAGGUGAAAUUCGUAGAUAUUCGCAAGAGCACCAGUGGCGAAGGCGGCUCACUGGCCCGGAACUGACGCUGAGGUGCGAAAGCGUGGGAAGCAAACAGG
This 251-nucleotide ribosomal RNA is filed under the name uncultured bacterium. RNAcentral's name for it is "partial 16S ribosomal RNA". It matches the Rfam family "Bacterial small subunit ribosomal RNA", at positions 526 to 776 of the family's 1533-position model. The record is from RNAcentral.